GGGGAUGUACAGGUUUUGACAGAGGAUUUCUUCGGUCAGAUAUCUUAAGCUCGGCGGUUGCACCGUCCCGUCGUUAUAAGAGUUCGGUGCAAAACCAAAUGCAAGCGAAAAUCUUGCCGCAACGCUUUACAGAGCUUUUGCUCCUGUCAGAGUAGCUGCGUAGAUGUUUCGGCCAUCGUGCCGGAACCCGUUCUUUGGCCCGAUGUCUCAUGAGGUCAAAAGAAUGUCAUUUAUGGGGCACGGCGUGUAAAUUUGGAGUUUUAUUUACUCGCUUAAAAUUUAAAACCAACCUUUUGCGGUUUUUGGCCGGUUCUUUAUCGCAAAUCGUUAAACAGAGCCGGUUAUGGCUUUAAACGGUAUUUGCCGGACCUUUGGACGCGGGUUCGAUUCCCGCCAUCUCCACCA
This 405-nucleotide transfer-messenger RNA is filed under the name Patescibacteria group. RNAcentral describes it as "XYC2-FULL-41-22 sp001788795 Standard tmRNA". It matches the Rfam family "transfer-messenger RNA". Rfam says of the family: Bacterial tmRNA, also known as 10Sa RNA or SsrA, is named for its dual tRNA and mRNA-like properties. Its role is to liberate the mRNA from a stalled ribosome. To accomplish this part of the tmRNA is used as a reading frame that ends in a translation stop signal. RNAcentral also lists the same sequence under 4 other names. The record is from RNAcentral.